Molecule: ribosomal RNA, 250 nt
Filed under: uncultured Prevotella sp.
Lineage: Bacteria; Pseudomonadati; Bacteroidota; Bacteroidia; Bacteroidales; Prevotellaceae
Description: partial 16S ribosomal RNA
Rfam family: Bacterial small subunit ribosomal RNA
Source: RNAcentral
UACGGAAGGUCCAGGCGUUAUCCGGAUUUAUUAGGUUUAAAGGGAGCGUAGGCCGCCUGGUAAGCGUGUUGUGAAAAAUACCGGCUCAACCGGUAUCCUGCAGCGCGAACUGCCUGGCUUGAGUGUGCGCAACGUUGGCGGAAUUCGUCGUGUAGCGGUGAAAUGCUUAGAUAUGACGAAGAACUCCAAUUGCGAAGGCAGCUGACGGGAGCACAACUGACGCUGAAGCUCGAAAGUGCGGGUAUCGAAC